Molecule: non-coding RNA, 945 nt
Organism: Poecilia reticulata (guppy)
Lineage: Eukaryota; Metazoa; Chordata; Actinopteri; Cyprinodontiformes; Poeciliidae
Source: RefSeq, a predicted model, not a curated record
UUUAAGCACGCUAACCGGACUCUGGAACAUAUAUUUUUUGGACUUCGGUUGGAUUAAGAGAUGGAGUUACCUUUCUGCCACCUCCCUGAUUUUCUGGGCUCAAACCCUAAACGAGGUUGACUCACGACGCAGACAAAGGUAAAGAAGCUGCUUUGAAUUCCACCAAGAUGGCUCAAGUCCCUUAAUAAACUGUAUGACUGGGAAUCUAUGGAGCCUUUUGAAGUUUUAACGCGAUUGAUCUUCUCAUCAAACCUGGUGCACCAAGAACCUUUGCGAAGCACAAGAACUGGUCAGAGCAUUUCAAGCUCUUGGUAACUGAACCUAAGAGUUGGAUUAACCUUUUUUUGCAGAACAUAAACAUAACUGUUUUGUUUUAUGUUCACAGCGACUAGAGACCAAAUAAUUGACACGGCCCUAUUUGGUUGGAGAAAGUAGGACGCAGAGACACACCUGGCCCUUCGCUUCGAGAUGAAUCGUGCAGUCAGAUGCGGCGCGUCGUUAUCGUUCCCAUCUCUUGAAACUGCUGUCUGAUUUAGCUGAAAGUCCGAACCAUCUCGAGUUCAAAUUGAGCACACGGCACAUAACAACGCCUCUCUAGUAGGCGAAGCAUCUGAAGGAUGCGGAGCAACUUCAAAGUUACAAGAAAAGUGGGGGGGCGGGGGGUUUCCCCCCACAAUCUCAGGUCCUCAUCAUAAUUUUUUGCCUGUGGUUCUCGCUUUGACAAGCAUCUGACCUCAUUCCUCAGUCGCCCUGAUUAGUUUGAUAAAGCUGUGCUUCACUUGCUGCCAGGCUUGCAGAGGAAUGAAGAUGGUAUGCUGAGAAAUGACGGAGGGAAAUGUAACUACUUUUCUGUCCAUUUAAUGUCGCUUAAAUUUUCUUAGCGCAAUAAUCUGGUUUCGUCAAAGGAGUCAUCUGUCUUCAGCUUACCUUAGUGAGCUGAUUGAU